GGCGGCAGGCCUAACACAUGCAAGUCGAGCGGUAGCACAGAGAGCUUGCUCUCGGGUGACGAGCGGCGGACGGGUGAGUAAUGUCUGGGAAACUGCCUGAUGGAGGGGGAUAACUACUGGAAACGGUAGCUAAUACCGCAUAACGUCGCAAGACCAAAGUGGGGGACCUUCGGGCCUCAUGCCAUCAGAUGUGCCCAGAUGGGAUUAGCUGGUAGGUGGGGUAACGGCUCACCUAGGCGACGAUCCCUAGCUGGUCUGAGAGGAUGACCAGCCACACUGGAACUGAGACACGGUCCAGACUCCUACGGGAGGCAGCAGUGGGGAAUAUUGCACAAUGGGCGCAAGCCUGAUGCAGCCAUGCCGCGUGUGUGAAGAAGGCCUUCGGGUUGUAAAGCACUUUCAGCGGGGAGGAAGGCGGUGAGGUUAAUAACCUCAUCGAUUGACGUUACCCGCAGAAGAAGCACCGGCUAACUCCGUGCCAGCAGCCGCGGUAAUACGGAGGGUGCAAGCGUUAAUCGGAAUUACUGGGCGUAAAGCGCACGCAGGCGGUCUGUCAAGUCGGAUGUGAAAUCCCCGGGCUCAACCUGGGAACUGCAUUCGAAACUGGCAGGCUAGAGUCUUGUAGAGGGGGGUAGAAUUCCAGGUGUAGCGGUGAAAUGCGUAGAGAUCUGGAGGAAUACCGGUGGCGAAGGCGGCCCCCUGGACAAAGACUGACGCUCAGGUGCGAAAGCGUGGGGAGCAAACAGGAUUAGAUACCCUGGUAGUCCACGCUGUAAACGAUGUCGAUUUGGAGGUUGUGCCCUUGAGGCGUGGCUUCCGGAGCUAACGCGUUAAAUCGACCGCCUGGGGAGUACGGCCGCAAGGUUAAAACUCAAAUGAAUUGACGGGGGCCCGCACAAGCGGUGGAGCAUGUGGUUUAAUUCGAUGCAACGCGAAGAACCUUACCUGGUCUUGACAUCCACAGAACUUUCCAGAGAUGGAUUGGUGCCUUCGGGAACUGUGAGACAGGUGCUGCAUGGCUGUCGUCAGCUCGUGUUGUGAAAUGUUGGGUUAAGUCCCGCAACGAGCGCAACCCUUAUCCUUUGUUGCCAGCGGUCCGGCCGGGAACUCAAAGGAGACUGCCAGUGAUAAACUGGAGGAAGGUGGGGAUGACGUCAAGUCAUCAUGGCCCUUACGACCAGGGCUACACACGUGCUACAAUGGCAUAUACAAAGAGAAGCGACCUCGCGAGAGCAAGCGGACCUCAUAAAGUAUGUCGUAGUCCGGAUUGGAGUCUGCAACUCGACUCCAUGAAGUCGGAAUCGCUAGUAAUCGUAGAUCAGAAUGCUACGGUGAAUACGUUCCCGGGCCUUGUACACACCGCCCGUCACACCAUGGGAGUGGGUUGCAAAAGAAGUAGGUAGCUUAA
This 1408-nucleotide ribosomal RNA is filed under the name Klebsiella sp. UIWRF0487. RNAcentral's name for it is "bacterial SSU rRNA". It matches the Rfam family "Bacterial small subunit ribosomal RNA". Lineage: Bacteria; Pseudomonadati; Pseudomonadota; Gammaproteobacteria; Enterobacterales; Enterobacteriaceae. The record is from RNAcentral.